Molecule: ribosomal RNA, 1845 nt
Filed under: Triticum aestivum (bread wheat)
Lineage: Eukaryota; Viridiplantae; Streptophyta; Magnoliopsida; Poales; Poaceae
Description: partial small subunit ribosomal RNA
Source: RNAcentral
AUGCUGCCGCGCUCCCACUCGCACCCCGCGCGGCGGCGCUCCGGCCUCGGCCCGCAGCUCUGCGCCGUCGCCGCGGCGCUGCUCCUGCUCCUCUCCCUCGCCGUCCUCCACUCCCGCCUCUCCUCCUCCUCGCCCUUCCCGCUCUCCUCCUCGUCCCGCUCCUCCGCCACCGACUCCGCCGCCACCAACUCCACCGCUCUCCUCGCGGACGACGACGACGACCCUGUGGCCGCCGCGCUCGACCCCGACCUCACCCUCGCCGCCGUGACCACCGCUGCCGCCACCGAGGGCGCCGCGGCUACCAACCCCGACGACGACCGCAUCGACGAGCUCGACGUGCUCGACGAGGACGACUCCUCCGCCGUCACCGACGCGGCCGACGACGUGCCCGCCUCCGCCACCGCCGCGUCCUUCCUCUGGGACCACGCCGCCGGCGUCGCCCGCCUCCCCUUCCGCCUCCCCCCCGCUGGCGACUCCCCGCCCGUGGGGUUCCCCCACUUGGACUCCCCGCGUCGGAUCGCCGCCGCCUCCUUUGGAUCCGACGACGAGCCUGUGGAUCUGGAGCUGCGGGUGGAGAUCUCGUCCAUCAGCGGCAUUGAGGACGCGCUGCUCCUCAAGCCCGCCUCCGGCCGUAGCGAGACGCGGCUCCGCUCUGGUUGGGCGCGGUGGCUGGAGGGGAAGGCGGACUACCUCCGGCGCGAUCGGAUGCUCAGGUCCAACUUGGAGUUCCUCAAUCCUCGCAACCACCCUCUGCUCCAGGACCCGGACAGUCCUGGUCUCACUUCACUCACCCGUGGCGACCGCAUGGUGCAGCGGUUGCUCAUCUCAGAAAUUGAGAAAGACUCAUCCAAGAAUUUUGCCCGGCGGAGCCUCAAGUCGUCCGACAAUGAGCAUGGAAUAGGAGCCAUUCUGAAGGAGGAGCCGGAAGAAGUUAGGAGGUGGGGACACUUUCCAGGAAUUGAUCCACAUUUGGGGUUCUCAGAGUUCAUGGAAAGGUUCUUUGAGCAUGGCAAGUGCUCCCUGAGGGUGUUCAUGGUAUGGAACAGCCCUCAGUGGGCGUAUGGUGUUCGGCACCAGCGUGGGCUCGAGAGCUUGCUCCUGCAGCAUCCUGAUGCCUGUGUGGUCAUGCUGUCGGAGAUGCUGGAGCUGGAGGCCUUCCAUGAGUUUGUGAAGGAAGGACACAAGGUUGCAGUUGCAGUGCCGAAUCUUGAUGAACUUUUGGAGGGCACACCAACCCACAUUUUUGCAUCGGUGUGGUAUGAAUGGCGGAAAACAGUAAAUUACCCCUUGCAUUACAGUGAGCUAGUACGCCUUGCUGCUCUGUACAGAUAUGGUGGUAUAUACCUUGACUCUGAUAUUAUUGUACUCAAACCAUUGAAAUCCCUCCGAAAUUCUAUUGGUACUGUAAAAGAAGUUUCUAGAGGUUCCAGUUUCAGUGGUGCUGUAUUGGCAUUUGAAAAACAGAGCCCAUUCUUGCUCGAGUGCCUGAAGGAAUGGUAUUCAACAUAUGAUGAUACUCUCAUUCAGUGGAAUGGUGCUGAACUUAUGACAAGAGUAAUAAGAAAUCAUUCUGACAGUGAUCCAAAUAGGGAGCACCUUGAGAUACAGUUGGAACCCUCAUUUACAUUCUACCCCAUAAAUUCUACGGAUAUCAGUAGGUACUUCUCAGAACCAGACAGUACGGCUGAAAGAGCACAACAUGAUGCUCUGUUUUCCAGGAUUCUGAACUACUCUACCACUUUCCACUUCUGGAACAGCAUUACAUCUUCUCUGGUUCCUGAAUCCAACAGUCUUGUUGAGAGAAUUCUUAACCAUUACUGUCUCCAUUGCCUUGAUGUUCUAUAG